UGGGGCUCAACUACAUUACCCUCAUCCACUCUCUUUUCUCUCUGUUCAUUCUUUUUCUUGUAACAAUCUUUAAUAAAAUGUCCAGUUUUUCCACAUCCACAACACUUUCUAUUUCCAGUCCUAGACUUGGAUCUAGGUCUUCCUUUCCAUUUCUUCUUGUUAUUGUUAUUUCCUUGAUAUCUCUGAUUUUCAUGACUAUUACCUUGCCUAGUAAGUGAUCUGCCUCUAACAAAUAAACUUUCAGAUUCCCUUCCCUGCCUUUCAGAUUUAAUUUCUAAUUCUUUACUUCUUAAAGAAUUAAUCACAACUUCAGGGGUUAACUCAUCC
This 327-nucleotide long non-coding RNA is filed under the name Olea europaea (common olive). RNAcentral describes it as "long non-coding RNA (OEUR_LNC012968)". The record is from RNAcentral. Lineage: Eukaryota; Viridiplantae; Streptophyta; Magnoliopsida; Lamiales; Oleaceae.